RNAcentral lists this ribosomal RNA (457 nucleotides) under uncultured bacterium. RNAcentral's name for it is "bacterial SSU rRNA". It matches the Rfam family "Bacterial small subunit ribosomal RNA", at positions 29 to 533 of the family's 1533-position model. The record is from RNAcentral.
AACGAACGCUGGCGGCAGGCCUAACACAUGCAAGUCGAGCGCCCCGCAAGGGGAGCGGCGGACGGGUGAGUAACGCGUGGGAACGUGCCUCUUGCUACGGAAUAGCCUCGGGAAACUGGGAGUAAUACCGUAUGUGCCCUACGGGGGAAAGAUUUAUCGGCAAGAGAUCGGCCCGCGUUGGAUUAGGUAGUUGGUGGGGUAAUGGCCUACCAAGCCGACGAUCCAUAGCUGGUUUGAGAGGAUGAUCAGCCACACUGGGACUGAGACACGGCCUAGACUCCUACGGGAGGCAGCAGUGGGGAAUCUUAGACAAUGGGCGCAAGCCUGAUCUAGCCAUGCCGCGUGAGCGAUGAAGGCCUUAGGGUUGUAAAGCUCUUUCAGUGGGGAAGAUAAUGACUGUACCCACAGAAGAAGCCCCGGCUAACUCCGUGCCAGCAGCCGCGGUAAAGUACAGUGU